CGCCCGGCCUAGCCGGGCGUCUGCUUGAUGACUCUAGAUAACACCACAGAUCGUACGGUCAUAGUACCGGCGACGUAUCCUUCAAAUGUCUGACUUAUCAGCUGUCGAUGGUAGACUCUGUGUCUACCAUGGCGCUCACGGGUGACGGGGAAUCAGGGUUCGAUUCCGGAGAGGGAGCCUGAGAAACGGCUACCACAUCCAAGGAAGGCAGCAGGCACGCAAAUUACCCACUCCCGGCACGGGGAGGUAGUGACAAAAAAUAACGAUACGGGACUCAUCCGAGGCCCCGUAAUCGGAAUGAGAACAUCCUAAAUCCUUUAACGAGGAUCUAUUGGAGGGCAAGUCUGGUGCCAGCAGCCGCGGUAAUUCCAGCUCCAAUAGCGUAUAUUAAAGUUGUUGCGGUUAAAAAGCUCGUAGUUGGUUCUGCGUGCCACGCUGUCGGUUCACCGCCUGUCGGUGCAACUGGCAUGCCGUGGCAUGUCCUGUCGGUGGCGGAUAGGCUUCGCGGCGAUCUUUGCGUAAUUACGUUACGUAAGGGCGUCGCGUCGUCCUUGUACGCCGGCUCAAUCCUACCGCGGUGCUCUUUACCGAGUGUCGAGGUAGGCCGACACAUUUUACUUUGAACAAAUUAGAGUGCUUAAAGCAGGCUCUUAAAUCAGCCUGAAUAGUGGUGCAUGGAAUAAUGGAACAGGACCUUGGUUCUAUUUUGUUGGUUUUAGGAAUCCAAGGUAAUGAUCAAUAAGGACAGGCGGGGGCAUUCGUAUUGCGACGUUAGAGGUGAAAUUCUUGGAUCGUCGCAAGACGCACUAGAGCGAAAGCAUUUGCCAAGUAUGUCUUAAUUGAUCAAGAACGAAAGUUAGAGGUUU
RNAcentral lists this ribosomal RNA (866 nucleotides) under Dindymus rubiginosus. RNAcentral's name for it is "SSU rRNA". It matches the Rfam family "Eukaryotic small subunit ribosomal RNA", at positions 223 to 999 of the family's 1831-position model. The record is from RNAcentral. Lineage: Eukaryota; Metazoa; Arthropoda; Insecta; Hemiptera; Pyrrhocoridae.